RNAcentral lists this ribosomal RNA (253 nucleotides) under uncultured bacterium. RNAcentral's name for it is "partial 16S ribosomal RNA". It matches the Rfam family "Bacterial small subunit ribosomal RNA", at positions 524 to 776 of the family's 1533-position model. The record is from RNAcentral.
CACGUAGGGGGCGAGCGUUGUCCGGAAUUACUGGGCGUAAAGGGAGCGUAGGCGGUUUUUUAAGUGGGAUGUGAAAUCCCCGGGCUUAACCUGGGAAUUGCAUUCCAAACUGGAAGACUAGAGUGCAGGAGAGGAAAGUGGAAUUCCAAGUGUAGCGGUGAAAUGCGUAGAGAUUUGGAGGAACACCAGUGGCGAAGGCGACUUUCUGGACUGUAACUGACGCUGAGGCUCGAGAGCGUGGGGAGCAAACAGG